UGGGGAAUAUUGCACAAUGGGCGCAAGCCUGAUGCAGCCAUGCCGCGUGUAUGAAGAAGGCCUUCGGGUUGUAAAGUACUUUCAGCGGGGAGGAAGGUGUUGUGGUUAAUAACCGCAGCAAUUGACGUUACCCGCAGAAGAAGCACCGGCUAACUCCGUGCCAGCAGCCGCGGUAAUACGGAGGGUGCAAGCGUUAAUCGGAAUUACUGGGCGUAAAGCGCACGCAGGCGGUCUGUCAAGUCGGAUGUGAAAUCCCCGGGCUCAACCUGGGAACUGCAUUCGA
This 283-nucleotide ribosomal RNA is filed under the name bacterium. RNAcentral describes it as "partial 16S ribosomal RNA". It matches the Rfam family "Bacterial small subunit ribosomal RNA", at positions 355 to 630 of the family's 1533-position model. The record is from RNAcentral.